UACGUAGGGUGCAAGCGUUAAUCGGAAUUACUGGGCGUAAAGCGUGCGCAGGCGGUUUUGUAAGUCUGGCGUGAAAUCCCCGGGCUCAACCUGGGAAUGGCGAUGGAGACUGCAAGGCUAGAGUUUGGCAGAGGGGGGUAGAAUUCCACGUGUAGCAGUGAAAUGCGUAGAGAUGUGGAGGAACACCGAUGGCGAAGGCAGCCCCCUGGGUCAAAACUGACGCUCAUGCACGAAAGCGUGGGGAGCAAACAGG
RNAcentral lists this ribosomal RNA (253 nucleotides) under uncultured bacterium. RNAcentral describes it as "partial 16S ribosomal RNA". It matches the Rfam family "Bacterial small subunit ribosomal RNA", at positions 524 to 776 of the family's 1533-position model. The record is from RNAcentral.